RNAcentral lists this ribosomal RNA (548 nucleotides) under Ovis aries (sheep). Its description in RNAcentral is "partial large subunit ribosomal RNA". It matches the Rfam family "Bacterial large subunit ribosomal RNA", at positions 1817 to 2597 of the family's 2925-position model. Lineage: Eukaryota; Metazoa; Chordata; Mammalia; Artiodactyla; Bovidae. The record is from RNAcentral.
CACCUCCAGCAUCCCCAGUAUUGGAGGCACUGCCUGCCCAGUGACUAGACGUUAAACGGCUGCGGUAUCCUGACCGUGCAAAGGUAGCAUAAUCAUUUGUUCUCUAAAUAAGGACUUGUAUGAAUGGCCACACGAGGGUUUUACUGUCUCUUACUUCCAAUCAGUGAAAUUGACCUCCCCGUGAAGAGGCGGGGAUAAACCAACAAGACGAGAAGACCCUAUGGAGCUUUAACUAACUAGCCCAAAGAAAAUAGACUUAACCACCAAGGGAUAACAACACUCUUUAUGGACUAGCAGUUUUGGUUGGGGUGACCUCGGAGAACAAAAAAUCCUCCGAGCGAUUUUAAAGACUAGACUUACAAGUCAAACCAAAUUAUCACUUAUUGAUCCAAAAACUUGAUCAACGGAACAAGUUACCCUAGGGAUAACAGCGCAAUCCUAUUCAAGAGUCCAUAUUGACAAUAGGGUUUACGACCUCGAUGUUGGAUCAGGACACCCCGAUGGUGCAACCGCUAUCAAAGGUUCGUUUGUUCAACGAUUAAAGUCCU